AACGGUCUAUACCUGCGGUACCUGCGGAGGGAUCAUUACAUGGCGGAGGAGGUGGGCACCUGGUAACCCCCGGGUGUGUUGCCUUCACGCUUUCUACCCUUGUCUAUUUGCACCUUUUGUCGUUCCCUCGGUGGGUCUUGUACCUGCCGACGGCAACUUUCAAAAACCUUCUUGCAGUUAGUAUCUAAUUCUUCUGAUAAAAUAACAAAUCGUUACAACUUUUAACAAUGGAUCUCUAGA
This 240-nucleotide unclassified non-coding RNA is filed under the name soil metagenome. Its description in RNAcentral is "partial contains 5.8S ribosomal RNA, internal transcribed spacer 2, and large subunit ribosomal RNA". The record is from RNAcentral.